CCUACGGGAGGCAGCAGUGAGGAAUAUUGGUCAAUGGGCGAGAGCCUGAACCAGCCAAGUCGCGUGAGGGAGUACUGCCCUAUGGGUUGUAAACCUCUUUUGUCGGGGAGCAAAAGCCGGACGUGUCCGGCUGUGAGAGUACCCGAAGAAAAAGCAUCGGCUAACUCCGUGCCAGCAGCCGCGGUAAUACGGGGGAUGCGAGCGUUAUACGGAUUUAUUGGGUUAAAAGGGUGCGCAGGCGGAUUUUUAAGUCAGCGGUAAAAUCGUGGGGCUCAACCCCAUCCAGCCGUUGAAACUGGGGAUCUAGAGUGUGCGAGAGGGAUGCGGAAUGCGUGGUGUAGCGGUGAAAUGCAUAGAUAGCACGCGGAACCCCGAUUGCGAAGGCAGCAUACCGGUGCACAACUGACGCUCAGGCACGAAGGCGUGGGUAUCGAACAGGAUUAGAUACCCUGGUAGUC
Molecule: ribosomal RNA, 458 nt
Filed under: uncultured bacterium
Lineage: Bacteria
Description: partial 16S ribosomal RNA
Rfam family: Bacterial small subunit ribosomal RNA
Source: RNAcentral